Molecule: transfer RNA, 90 nt
Filed under: Gammaproteobacteria bacterium
Lineage: Bacteria; Pseudomonadati; Pseudomonadota; Gammaproteobacteria
Also listed under: 2 other names
Description: tRNA-Ser
Rfam family: tRNA
About the family: Transfer RNA (tRNA) molecules are approximately 80 nucleotides in length. Their secondary structure includes four short double-helical elements and three loops (D, anti-codon, and T loops).
Source: RNAcentral
GGAGAGGUGGCUGAGCGGUUGAAAGCACUGGUCUUGAAAACCAGCGUGCCUUUACGGGCACCGAGGGUUCGAAUCCCUCCCUCUCCGCCA